This 403-nucleotide unclassified non-coding RNA is filed under the name fungal sp. Its description in RNAcentral is "partial internal transcribed spacer region". The record is from RNAcentral. Lineage: Eukaryota; Fungi.
AAGGUGAACCUGCGGAAGGAUCAUUAAUAACGUAUCCAACGUAAAAAAAACAAACCCCGUGAACAUUGAUUUGCGCCCUUGCCAGCCUGUACGUGUCGCCGACUUAUAUGGUCAGAAAUCCCUAGUAAAUCACGCAAGACUAAUUGAUUUAGGGACUACUGGAUGACGGCCUCGGCCUGUAAAAGGUCCGUUAAGGCGAUACCAGUAGUCUCCGUCAUUGUUGGAAGUAGACCCCUCUGGGUAGUGAGGCGAUCUCAAGCUUAUCACAAGCCAUGGGACGACAUUUAUGAUAAGUUGUUGUCGACAAUGAGCUCAUCCACUCGUACACUGAUGUUAUUACGGGGGGUAGUGAAGGCUAUCCCCAUACUCUGAACAACUGUUAACAAUGGAUAUCUUGGUUCUC